CUUAUGCGUUGUUGGGUAGGGGAGCGUUCUGUAAGCCUGUGAAGGUGUGCUGUGAGGCAUGCUGGAGGUAUCAGAAGUGCGAAUGCUGACAUAAGUAACGAUAAAGCGGGUGAAAAGCCCGCUCGCCGGAAGACCAAGGGUUCCUGUCCAACGUUAAUCGGGGCAGGGUGAGUCGACCCCUAAGGCGAGGCCGAAAGGCGUAGUCGAUGGGAAACAGGUUAAUAUUCCUGUACUUGGUGUUACUGCGAAGGGGGGACGGAGAAGGCUAUGUUGGCCGGGCGACGGUUGUCCCGGUUUAAGCGUGUAGGCUGGUUUUCCAGGCAAAUCCGGAAAACCAAGGCUGAGGCGUGAUGACGAGGCACUACGGUGCUGAAGCAACAAAUGCCCUGCUUCCAGGAAAAGCCUCUAAGCAUCAGGUAACAUCAAAUCGUACCCCAAACCGACACAGGUGGUCAGGUAGAGAAUACCAAGGCGCUUGAGAGAACUCGGGUGAAGGAACUAGGCAAAAUGGUGCCGUAACUUCGGGAGAAGGCACGCUGAUAUGUAGGUGAAGCGACUUGCUCGUGGAGCUGAAAUCAGUCGAAGAUACCAGCUGGCUGCAACUGUUUAUUAAAAACACAGCACUGUGCAAACACGAAAGUGGACGUAUACGGUGUGACGCCUGCCCGGUGCCGGAAGGUUAAUUGAUGGGGUUAGCGGUAACGCGAAGCUCUUGAUCGAAGCCCCGGUAAACGGCGGCCGUAACUAUAACGGUCCUAAGGUAGCGAAAUUCCUUGUCGGGUAAGUUCCGACCUGCACGAAUGGCGUAAUGAUGGCCAGGCUGUCUCCACCCGAGACUCAGUGAAAUUGAACUCGCUGUGAAGAUGCAGUGUACCCGCGGCAAGACGGAAAGACCCCGUGAACCUUUACUAUAGCUUGACACUGAACAUUGAGCCUUGAUGUGUAGGAUAGGUGGGAGGCUUUGAAGUGUGGACGCCAGUCUGCAUGGAGCCGACCUUGAAAUACCACCCUUUAAUGUUUGAUGUUCUAACGUUGGCCCGUAAUCCGGGUUGCGGACAGUGUCUGGUGGGUAGUUUGACUGGGGCGGUCUCCUCCUAAAGAGUAACGGAGGAGCACGAAGGUUGGCUAAUCCUGGUCGGACAUCAGGAGGUUAGUGCAAUGGCAUAAGCCAGCUUGACUGCGAGCGUGACGGCGCGAGCAGGUGCGAAAGCAGGUCAUAGUGAUCCGGUGGUUCUGAAUGGAAGGGCCAUCGCUCAACGGAUAAAAGGUACUCCGGGGAUAACAGGCUGAUACCGCCCAAGAGUUCAUAUCGACGGCGGUGUUUGGCACCUCGAUGUCGGCUCAUCACAUCCUGGGGCUGAAGUAGGUCCCAAGGGUAUGGCUGUUCGCCAUUUAAAGUGGUACGCGAGCUGGGUUUAGAACGUCGUGAGACAGUUCGGUCCCUAUCUGCCGUGGGCGCUGGAGAACUGAGGGGGGCUGCUCCUAGUACGAGAGGACCGGAGUGGACGCAUCACUGGUGUUCGGGUUGUCAUGCCAAUGGCACUGCCCGGUAGCUAAAUGCGGAAGAGAUAAGUGCUGAAAGCAUCUAAGCACGAAACUUGCCCCGAGAUGAGUUCUCCCUGAGACUUAGAGUCUCCUGAAGGAACGUUGAAGACGACGACGUUGAUAGGCCGGGUGUGUAAGCGCAGCGAUGCGUUGAGCUAACCGGUACUAAUGAACCGUGAGGCUUAACCUU
This 1735-nucleotide ribosomal RNA is filed under the name Escherichia coli. RNAcentral's name for it is "partial 23S ribosomal RNA". It matches the Rfam family "Bacterial large subunit ribosomal RNA", at positions 1213 to 2925 of the family's 2925-position model. Lineage: Bacteria; Pseudomonadati; Pseudomonadota; Gammaproteobacteria; Enterobacterales; Enterobacteriaceae. The record is from RNAcentral.